CCUACGGGAGGCAGCAGUGGGGAAUAUUGGGCAAUGGAGGCAACUCUGACCCAGCCACGCCGCGUGAAUGAUGAAGGUCCUCGGAUUGUAAAGUUCUGUGAUGGGGGAUGAACACAAUGACGGUACUCCAAUAGCAAGCCACGGCUAACUACGUGCCAGCAGCCGCGGCAAUACGUAGGUGGCAAGCGUUAUCCGGAAUGACUGGGUGUAAAGGGUGCGUAGGUGGUUUAGUAAGUUGGCGGUGUAAUUCCGGGGCUCAACCUCGGCGCUACCGCCAAAACUAGUAGACUAGAGUGCGGGAGAGGUAAGUGGAAUUCGUGGUGUAGCGGUGGAAUGCGUAGAUAUUAGGAGGAACAUCAGGGGCGAAGGCGACUUACUGGACUGUAACUGACGCUGAGGCACGAAAGCGUGGGGAGCGAACAGGAUUAGAUACCCCAGUAGUC
Molecule: ribosomal RNA, 443 nt
Filed under: uncultured bacterium
Lineage: Bacteria
Description: partial 16S ribosomal RNA
Rfam family: Bacterial small subunit ribosomal RNA
Source: RNAcentral